ACUAAACAGGAUUCCCUUAGUAAUGGCGAAUGAACAGGGAUGAGCUCAGCAUGGAAAUCGGGGUCUCCCGACCUUGAAUUGUAGUCUGUAGAUGUACUGCCAACGGAGGCGCAGAUGUAAGCCUCUUGGAAAAGAGCAUCAACGAGGGUGAGAGUCCCGUUUGUCAUCUGCAGUCCCCCGUGCACGGUGUGCCUUCUAAGAGUCACGUUCCUCGGGAUUGGAGCGCAAAGUGGGUGGUAAAUUUCAUCUAAAGGCUAAAUAUUGGUUCGAGACCGAUAGCAAACAAGUACCAUGAGGGAAAGGUGAAAAGGACUUUGAAAAGAGAGUUAAAAGUGCCUGAAAUUGCUGAAAGGGAAGCGAAUGGAACCAGUGUUCUUGAUGAGAUUGUUGCGUACUCUGGUGAUUGCUGGGUGUUCCACCGCAAGGGGGGCAUCUAGUUUUGAGCUAGAUGUGCGUGGUGUUUCUUGUCUUGUGUGUCACCGUCGGUGCACGAGCGAGUAAACCUCCAGGGGGCUGGUAACUCGACCACGGUUGAGUGAAUACCUUUGGCAGUACUCAUUUGUGUAUCGAUCCCUGCGUGUCUGGUUGCAGUGUUUGGGUCGCCUGGAAACUCCUGAAGGGCUUGUCCUCGAAGGAGUCCUUUUGGGCGCCCUGAGCAUCUCCCUGACACAAAGACGA
Molecule: ribosomal RNA, 678 nt
Filed under: Azadinium spinosum
Lineage: Eukaryota; Dinophyceae; Gonyaulacales; Amphidomataceae
Description: partial large subunit ribosomal RNA
Rfam family: Eukaryotic large subunit ribosomal RNA
Source: RNAcentral